Solenopsis invicta (red fire ant) is the source of this 1870-nucleotide long non-coding RNA. RefSeq lists it as uncharacterized. The transcript is spliced from 3 exons. The record is from RefSeq and is a predicted model, not a curated record. Lineage: Eukaryota; Metazoa; Arthropoda; Insecta; Hymenoptera; Formicidae.
GCGUUCUUCGUGAUCUUGAUGUUGUCGUAACAUUUCUCCCUCUUGGCUGGCACACCGUAGACGUGCCGAAACUUGCUGCUUCGAACGCCACGGAACCAUGACUGCGAACAUAAUAUAAGUCCAUUGGAAUAACAUUGUGAAAAUUUAUCGUAAUCUCAUGCCAAAAAAAAAACCCAUAAAAAACGGAAUGCACAUGAUGUAUAUGCUGGCGACGAUUUCGAAGAAAAAAAAUUAAAGAGAAAUAUACCAUUCAUGUGUACGAUCUUCGGGAGAACUCUCUCUUAUUCAGAAACCGUGAAAAGGAAAGCUACUGGAAUCAUGAACAAAAAUAUAGGUAUUUUGUUAUCGGUUGAUAAUUGCAGAUUUUUCAGCGAAUGUUUUCAAAAGGAUAGAGCUUGCGAGGAAUCGACGCGGAAAGAAUAAUGCGCAAUAAGGUGUAAAAAUAACGAUCGGGAGAUUGCACAGAACGUCAAGUUACACCUAUAACGCGCUUCCCAUGCGCUCGUAUUCCUCGCGUGAAAUCAUGCACGAUAAUUAAACCACGCCGGCGAGCAAAACGCUACAUGAUGUUACAAUAAUUGCGAUAUCUUCUUCGUUCCGUUUAUUUUGUAUGCGAAUUUAAAAGCAGAAUACUCGAGCAAGUAUUAUAUUUUUCCUUUCAAACAAAGAUUCUAUUUUUAAACAAUAGUAAGUGAAACUAGAUAAUCACGACUAAUAUAAUUAUGUAGAAAAGAGCCUUAUUUCAUCGGAGUUGGAUAUUAGUGUCUAAUGUUUCUGCGUAAAAUUAUAUAAAUUUUCCAGUUCUGUGAAUACUGUGCGCAGAUUACUUUUCAAUCUUGAAACGCAGUUUUAACCAAUGUUAAAAUAGCAAUAACACAAAUAGAAUUAAUUUGAUAUUCAAUUUAAUAAUACUGAUACUAAAAAACAUCUAAGAUCCAGUUUUAAUCAAAUAAGACUCUUUCCUACUUAUUUGUAUUAUUUUAUUUUUUAACUCAUAUAUAUAUAUAUAUAUACAUUUUUUUUUAUCUCGAAACAAUUGUGCCAUAGGAGAAACAACGAUGAGUCACACGCGGUUGUGGCUAAUUGACGUUGCGCGAAUGUGAAAUCUCUUGAAUUUGUGUGAAUCGACAUAAUUUUACUGGCGCGUGCAGUGUAGCGCGGUGAGUUAAAUCGAAUUAUGCGACUUUUUCCCAUAAAAAAAAAAGAUCGAAUCAAGCAGACUGCGUAAGAAUCGCGGCGAAAAGAUCGACACCGAAAUUCUUUGCUCGGAAAUGGAGACGUGCAAAAUCUUCCGGAUCUAUGCGAGCCCAUUUUUCAUCCGUGGACUUUUUUUAUGAUGCUAAUUUGGAAUAAAAAUUCAUAAAAAAAAUCGAAUCGAAAUUGAUCGAAGAAAAUGUAGGCGGAAGACUGCUUGGUAGAUCUGGGACACCCCGUGUGUUAAAAGUGCAUGGUAUCGUAAUCAAAAUCAAUAACCGGUACAUUAUGUAAUAACGUUGUGGUUUACUCGUUACUACGUAGGUAAUGCAAUAAGGAUGCGGUAUGUUACAUCCUCAUAUUUUCUACGCAUGAACUGUGUUACGAAGGGAAAGACGUACAUGAAAUUUUGACAUGUAAAUUAAAGAAAAAAAAAAAGGAUAGAUUUUAACGAAAUUUCGGUCAAAUUUCAUAGCCACUUAAAAAAUUAGACAAUCCACUUAACGUGCAUAAAAAAGCAUAAUCCUGGUGGAGUUUGGGAUCAACUUUUAACUGGAGUAGGUUCCCUAUAAGCGCUACAAUAUUAUUUAAUAUUAAUAAAAAGUCAUCCGAUAUUAUAAGAAUAUUAUAUGAGAAAUAAAUAACGUUAUUUACUUGAAUAGUUUAAAUUUAAAUU